Molecule: ribosomal RNA, 514 nt
Filed under: uncultured soil bacterium
Lineage: Bacteria
Description: bacterial SSU rRNA
Rfam family: Bacterial small subunit ribosomal RNA
Source: RNAcentral
AGAACGAACGCUGGCGGCGUGUUUAAGACAUGCAAGUCGCACGGAAUCAUUUGAGUAGUAAUACAAAAAUGGUUUAGUGGCGCACGGGUGAGUAACACGUGAAUUACAUGCCCUUCAGUGGGGAAUAGCCCAGGGAAACUUGGAUUAAUACCCCAUGGUCUCGCAAGAGUAAAGGUGGCCGCAAGGCUGCCGCUGGAGGAUUGGUUCGCGCCCUAUCAGCUUGUUGGUGAGGUAACGGCUCACCAAGGCUACGACGGGUACCUGGUCUGAGAGGACGAUCAGGCACACUGGAACUGAGACACGGUCCAGACACCUACGGGUGGCAGCAGUCGAGAAUAAUUCACAAUGGGGGCAACCCUGAUGGUGCAACGCCGCGUGGAGGAUGACGGUCUUCGGAUUGUAAACUCCUGUCAUCCGGAGAAAGACCUGGACCGUUAAUAGCGGACAGGUUGAGUAGUAACCGGAAGAGGAAGGACGGCUAACGUCGUAGCCAGCAGCCGACGGUAAUCGUAGA